Molecule: long non-coding RNA, 242 nt
Filed under: Elaeis guineensis (African oil palm)
Lineage: Eukaryota; Viridiplantae; Streptophyta; Magnoliopsida; Arecales; Arecaceae
Description: long non-coding RNA (EGUI_LNC021807)
Source: RNAcentral
UUGGUCAAUAAUCAGAAGUCUGCGGUCAUCUUCAGCCCAAGAAUGAAGGCCUAGGUUAGAUCAGCAAUCAGGAAGAUCCUGGGGAUCCGGGAGCAGACUGGGAUAUUAUCCUACCUUGGAGUUCCGAUCACGGGUCGUCGUCUUUGCGGGCUAAGUGCAAACCUCUGGAGCAGCAGGUCCAGGAGCAUCUUCUGGGUUGACAGGCUAAUGCCCUAUCCUUCAUGGGUAGGAUGACUAUGGUG